AUUGAAACCUUAUGGCAUGUUUUGAUUAAUUUCAAAAGAUUCAUUUUGUUAAAUACUUUAAUAUGUCAAUAAAGUAUGACAUGAAAAGAAAUAACAAAUUUACUAUCAAUUAUAUAUAAAAAAUCAUAAUCAAUUGUUUCAAAUUAACAGAAAUUUUUAAGAUAUUUAUGGAAAGCCUGAACAUGGAGAUUCUUAAAUGAUUCAAAUAAAUCAUUUUUACCAGAAAUUCUGUAACUGUAAAUUCAAAAAUUAUUGUGCUAGGUUUUUAUAUGACCGCAAAAAUUAAAAUUUUUUGGUCGUAUAUUGGUAUCACGUCGUCGUCAUUGUCAGUGUCAUCCUAAGACGGAUGGUUUCCGGAUAAUUACUUUAGUAUAAAAAAAUGGAAAUCAAUAAAAUUUUAACAUAAGGUUUAUAACCACUUAAGGAAGGUUGAGAUUGAUUUUUGGGGUUUUGGUCCCAAUAGUUUAAGAAUAAGGUGCGCAAAAGGGGUCAAAAUAAGUAUUUUUUCUAGUUUCGAGACAAUAACUUUUGUGUAAGUGUAUGGAUCUUUCUGAAAUUGUACCACAAGUUUUCAUUUCAAAAAAGGAAGGUUGGGAAUGAUUUUGGUGGUUAUGGCCCAAACUGUUUAGGAAUUAGGGGCCAAAAAAGGGCCAAAAACAACACUUUUCUAAUACUUUGUUUAAAUUGCUUAUUUCUUGACCAAUUUCAAUGGGGUUUAUUCUUGAAUUCUUGGGGUUCUAAAAUAUGCUAAAUCUAACCAUGUAUUUAGAUUUUUGAUUUUAGGGCCCUUUUAUCAAAUUGGUCCACAUUGAGGUCAAAAGGGUCCAAAAUAAAACUUUGUUUGAUUUUAUACAAAUAUAUCAUGCUUACAAGGGGUAUUUGCCAAAAAUACCGGUUGAGAGGUACAAAUUUCCAGAGCCGUUAGGCGAGAGAAAUUUGAUUACAUCGAAACCGGUAUUUUUGGCAAAUACCCCUUGUAAGCAUGAUAUAAUUGUUUAAUUCCACCGAAUGUUAAACCUCAGAAAGUUUAUUAUAAUCAGGUAUCAUAUGAAAUUUCGACUUGAAUAUAUAAUUUUUGUAUACACUGCAGCUGUGCUAUUUGCGCAGUCAAAUUGCAUUGACCGUAUUAUCAUUUCUUAUCAUUUUUUUAUGUACAACCACUGACUGUAUAUAUAUCUCCCUUUUUCUGAUAAUAAGCUGGUUUUCGGCUGAGUACUACACUUUGUUCAUCAGUUUCAGUGAAGCGUAAUACAAAUGGAUUCCAGUUUUAUGUAACCGGUUGACAAUUCGUUUCCGUUGAGUUUUAUUUAUGACGUCAUUCCGGAAUUUUUUACGUCAUUUGGUCCAAAUUCAAUAAUGAUGCUUUUUAUCCUAAAUAUUUCAUCUGGAACCAUAUAUUUAAAAUGACCAUGAAUUUGUCAUAUUAGAAUAGAAAUAAUUCAUUGCGUUAUUUUUAGACAUGGUAUUUCCCAUCUGCCAUGGUAUUUGCUAGCAAAUACCCCGGCAUAUGGAAUUCCCAAAGGCAAAUACCCCGGCAGAGAAAAGAAAAUGGCUCAAUAUAUAGAAAUUGGUGAAAAAUACCAUGGUUCUCAUCCAAUCAAAAUACAGCAUUAUUACAUAAGGUGGAAUUACAUCAAAAAUUCAAUUCUUGGGAUUCUUUGAUAUGCUGAAUCAAUCCAUGGCCAUGUAUUUAGAUUUUGGAUAUUGGACCAUAUUAGGUAAAUUUAAAUUUUUUAAGUUCCUUAGACCACAUUCAUUCUGUGUCAGAAACCUUUGUUGUGUCAACUAUUUAACCACAAUCCAAAUUCAGAGCUGUAUCAAGCUUGGAUUUUUCUCAAUAUCGCAAAAAAAUAAAAUCACAUUUUAGUCAAAAAUGACAAAAUCGCAAUAAUAAAUACACGCAAUAAUAUCUGAAUUUGCAGUAGUUGACAUUACUUUUACAUAGUAUUCACAUAUUUUUCCGUAUUAUAUACAAUUUAGUACUCAUAUGUACUGGGGACAGCAAAAUUUUCAAAUUUUAAAGUGCUAGCUAAGCAAACUUUUACAUUAAUAUUUUAAUUUUAAAUAUUGCAAGUAUCUAGACCUCCAAUGAUAUUAGCUGAUAUAAUGCGAUAUUGGACAAUCUUUCAUGUAAAUUUGCAAAAUGUGUGUUCUUUUUUAGCAUUGUUGCCAGUUUUUCUGUGGCUUUCACAUGAUAUUUUUGUGCACAAAACACAUAUUGUGGCAUUGUUCAUUUGUGAUUGCCAUGGUUUAUCAAGUAUUUUACUUCAACACUUCUCAUGUGAAGUUACAAGCACACCCUGUAAGAAUGGAACCGUGUACAUAAAUUCACACGCUAUAUUAGUUUGUAAAGUUAUCUCAGAUGGAACUUAUACCAUUUAAAUUAUUCUGCCAUAAAAAGUUUUAAUCGGAUAAAAAGUAAAGAAAAUCUUAUUAUUAUAAUAAAAUGGGAUAUUCCUUCACUGUCACGAGGGGGCCAAUCCAGCCAUUUUUAAAAGGUGAGUUCCAAACGUAGGAUAAAGGGGGUUCCAACCAAAUGAUAUCAUUCAAAUGAAUUUAUUGUCCAAAAAAGGUAAGUUUCUAACCAUGGAAUCUCCCCCCCUGAAUCUGCUACAGGUCACAGAAAUAAAUCGAAUGUAUACAUCUCCAACAAUCCUAUCAGCAUUUUAAGAGAAACACUUCUGCUUGAAUUGUGAUAUAUUCAAAUCUGUUGAAUAUGAAAUAAAGUUCAAAUAAACCAUCUAUCAUAUUGUCCUUUAUCUGACCAUCUCAGGUGUAAUCAUGUCAAUUUUUACCAAAAUUUGAUAUUUAUGGAUAAACUUGUUAAAAUGACAAAUUACUUGGCACUUCCCAUUUAUAAGGUGAGGGAAUUAAAUACAUUUUGUUGUGAUCACUGACCAUUAGAUUUCCAUAUCUAUUAUACAGUUUCCAUAGAAUUCAUGGUUAUACAUUUAUUAAAAAGCUAUAUGUUUUCAUAAUGAAAUUGUAUCAAAUUCUUUUUGUCAUAUAUUUGAGAAUAAAUAAAAUUUAGCUAACAUAUAGAUUAUAGAUAUGGUAAUUUUUAAAGAGGACAAAAAUUUAGAUUAUAUGUGAAUGCCUUUUUUGGGAGAAAGUUUUCAAAUUCUUCCUUUAUGAAUAUAAGUGAAAGGAAAUGUAUCUUAAAACAAGCCAAAAACAAAACUUUACCAAAAAGGACAUUUACUGGCCACAAUAAAUUUCCAAAAUAAUAGAGAAAUUUUUCAUAUUAUUUUUUAAGGCUAAUGAUAUUCUUUAACCUUCAGGCAUAAUAUGAUAAAAAUAAAAUUAUGAUAUUUGGUAACCUCUGCUCACAUAUAAUGAAGAUGAUAUGUUCCGUCUGUUGUCACUUGAAAGUUACAAUCAAUUAUAUCUAUAUAAUACUCUAUCAUAUAAGAAUGACUUUGUAUUUAAAAUUAUCAUACCUGGGUUCCUUAGAUUUUACUUGUAUAUAUGAUUUGUUUCACACAACUUUUAUUACACUUGUAAAUUGAGUUAAAAAUUAGAAAAUAUGGUAUGAUUUUCAAUGAGGCAAGUAACCUCCAAAGUUCAAAUAAAGUGGAUGUAAGGAAUUAUAGGCAACUGUUCCUCCUCAGUGAGAAAGGUUGUUGGAUGACACUAAAAUGUACAAGGGGGAAACUGCUUCCCUACAAUAAAAUACUGACAAUCUUCUCACAUAUACAGGAAGAUGGAGUGAACAACGUUCAGAGCAAGUCUUGGACCAAGGUGAAGAUUUGAUGAUUUAAUCUGUACCAAUUUAUUAUGAAAUACUUCUGAGACCACUUGGCCACAUACGCCUCUUAGUUAUUUAUGAAAAAUAAUGAAUUUUUUAAACAGGUGGGGCGUUUAGUCAAGUGAACACUGCAAUCAAUAGUCUCAGGUUUGCAGACAUUUGCCCCAAUGAAAUAAAAUAAAUGAAGAUAUAUAAUCUUUAUUAAAAACAAUGAAUUACCUUCAGCAGAAAUUAAGAAUACUACAUUAGAAAAAAAAUUCUCCUGCUUAAUCAGAAUUUUUAUAUCAUAAGGUAUAGACCAAAAUGUGGAACAUUUUUAGUUGAUCUAUAUAUACUGUUGUUAGCUGUAGAUUGUCCUAGAUGUAGAUAUAUGGAAUAAGUGCUAUAUUGUUACUUUAUAUUUCAUUUCUGUGUAUACUUGUUGCUUAGCAAUAAUAAGUUGUUAGUAAUUAAAACAC
RNAcentral lists this long non-coding RNA (4206 nucleotides) under Mytilus galloprovincialis (Mediterranean mussel). Lineage: Eukaryota; Metazoa; Mollusca; Bivalvia; Mytilida; Mytilidae. The record is from RNAcentral.